This 2121-nucleotide long non-coding RNA is filed under the name Homo sapiens (human). RNAcentral describes it as "HSALNT0261508". Lineage: Eukaryota; Metazoa; Chordata; Mammalia; Primates; Hominidae. The record is from RNAcentral.
GACGCGGGCAGACAGAGAGGGGCCAAGACCCCGACGUGGCACCCAAAGGCUGCCGCUGCUGAUAAGGGAGGAAUUGGCUUCCAGAGCCAGGAGCCCCCGGUGUGGGAGAGAUGAGAUGCCUGGGUGUAGACAGAGCCAGGAAGGGGGCAGGGGCCAGGCACCUCACGGAAGUGGGGGGCCUCCCGCCAUCUCUACCUUCUGACUCCUGCUGGGGCCUGAGUGUCCCCAUAGUGCCCAUAGCUGCCGUGUACGGGGUACAGCCUGGGCCACUACGAGGGGAGAAGGGGGCUGGGCGCAGGCCUGUGUGUCCUCAGGGCUGUGUCCCCGAAGCCACCUCAGCGUGGGAAAGCACUGGAAGGCCCUGCAUGGCUCCGUCCCUCCCUCUGCCUCCCCCAGCAGCGUGAGAUGGCAGCCCUGGCCAGCCCCAGCCCUCCAGGGCCUGCAACUCGGGCACCUUGACCCCCCAAGAGACAUCACCACCCCCUCCCCCAACCCACCCAACAGCUGCCCACUGUGCCAGCAACCCCCCAGCCAGGCCCGCUCAGGGUUUGCUCCCUGCCCUCCCAGGGCUCUGCUCCUGCCCUUCUGAGUGGCACUGUGGUGCCCCUGCCGCCCCAGGCCCACCCGAUCCGGCCCUCCAGCCUCCCACUGAACCGGCCAGAAAUACAGCUGCUGUGCCCCAGAGGCCGCAGGCCCAGCCUCCCGCUUGGCCUCCCUCCCCUUCGGCACCCCGUCCUCUGGAGCAGCCUUGAGGGGGUCUGCAGUGGAGAGACACACUCUGGAUUGGGCCCUGUUGUGGGUUGAAUUGUCACCCAGAAAGGGAAGCGCAGAAGUCCUGACCUCCAGGGCCUCAGAAUGGGACCUUAUUUGGGAAUUGGGUUUUUGCCAAGGAUGGAGCUGAGGUUAUACUGGAGGUGGAGGCUCCUGGUCCAGUCUGACCUCUGUCCUUGUAAGAGGGGAGGUUAGGCAGGCUGCAGUGGCCCACACCUAUAGUCCCGACACUUUGGGAGGCUGAGGCAGGUGGAUCACUUGAGGUCAGAAGUUCGAGACCAGCCUGGCCAACAUGGUGAAACCCCGUCUCUACUAAAAAUACAAAAAUUAGCUGGGUGUGGUGGUAGUCGCGUGUAAUCCUAGCUACUCAGGGGGCUGAGGGAGGAGAUUCGCUUGAACCUGGGAGGCAGAGGCUUCAGUGAGCUGAAAUUGUGCCACUGCACUCCAGCCUGGACAACAGAGCAAGACUCUGUCUCAAAAACAAAGAAACAAACAAAGAAAACGGUCAGGCGCGGUGGCUCAUGCCUGUAAUCCGAGCACUUUGAGAGGCUGAGGUGAGUGGAUCACCUGAGGUUAGGAGUUCGAAACCAGCCUGGCCAAUGUGGUGAAACCCCAUCUCUACUAAAAAUACAAAAAUUAGCCAGGCCUGGUGGCGCAUGCCUGUGAUCCCAGUUACUUGGGAGGCUGAGGCAGGAGAAUCACUUGAAGCUGGGAAGCAGAGGUUGCAGUGAGCUGAGAUCACACCAUUGCACUCCAGCCUGGGCGACAAGAAUAAAACUCCAUCUCAAUUAAAAAAUAAAUAAAUAAAAGAGGGGGAGUUGGACACAGACGGACGCACACAGAGGGAAGAGAUGAGAGGCUACAGGGGCAGGCACUGGAAGACUGGGGUGAUGUGAUACAGCCACCAGCCAGGACAGCCUGGGGACACCAGAAGCUGGCGAGGCAGGAAGCUCCCCUGAGGUAUCCCCAGGUUUCAGAGAGAGCGUGGCCCUCCCUCCAGCCUCCAGAACUGUGGGACGAUAGAUUUCCUUUGUUAUAAGUCUCCACCUGGGUUUGGGUGUGGUGUGGCGGUGCUGGGGGAGGAGUUUAGGAAGAAAGGGAAUCAGACCUUCUCUGGGGUCUCCAGGGUGAAGGCUGAGGGGCCUAAGACCACCCGGAGGUGCCCCGUGCCCACCCUCCCGACGGAGCUGCGAGGCUGGCUCUCCAGCCUCUCCUUCCGCCCCCACCCACAUUCACUUUGUUUUCUCUCCUCCGUGCUUUCAUGACCAAAAAAAAUAUUUUUUUACUUUUUCCAUGUUUUUUUUUUAAAGUAAUUACAGAGCAGGUAGUCGUUGACGCAAACCUCCCUUC